Molecule: ribosomal RNA, 253 nt
Filed under: uncultured bacterium
Lineage: Bacteria
Description: partial 16S ribosomal RNA
Rfam family: Bacterial small subunit ribosomal RNA
Source: RNAcentral
UACGUAGGAGACGAGCGUUGUCCGGAGUUACUGGGCGUAAAGGGUGCGCAGGCGGCCUGGCGCGUCGCGGGUGAAAUCUCCUGGCUCAACUGGGAGGGUGGUCGCGAGACGGCUGGGCUUGAGGCUCGGUGAGGGGCGUGGAAUUCCGGGUGGAGCGGUGAAAUGCGUAGAGAUCCGGAGGAACACCGGUGGCGAAGGCGGCUUUCUGGGUCUUACCUGACGCUGAGGAACGAAAGCCAGGGGAGCGAACGGG